UCCGAGUUGACCCCGGCAGUCUCCUAUGAGUCCCCACCAUAACGUGCUGGCAACAUAGGACGAGGGUUGCGCUCGUUGCGGGACUUAACCCAGCAUCUCACGACACGAGCUGACGACAGCCAUGCACCACCUGUGAAGGUGUCCCGAAGGAAAGAUGUGUCUCCACACCGGUCACCUACAUGUCAAGCCCAGGUAAGGUUCUUCGCGUUGCGUCGAAUUAAACCACAUGCUCCGCUGCUUGUGCGGGCCCCCGUCAAUUCCUUUGAGUUUCAGUCUUGCGACCGUACUCCCCAGGCGGAAUGCUUAAAGCGUUAGCGACGGCACCCGGGGACUUUAUAACCCCAGACACCAAGCAUUCAUCGUUUAAGGCCAGGACUAC
RNAcentral lists this unclassified non-coding RNA (379 nucleotides) under uncultured Acidobacteriota bacterium. RNAcentral's name for it is "uncultured Acidobacteria bacterium contains 16S-23S intergenic spacer region". The record is from RNAcentral. Lineage: Bacteria; Pseudomonadati; Acidobacteriota.